Molecule: ribosomal RNA, 2901 nt
Filed under: Escherichia coli TX1999
Lineage: Bacteria; Pseudomonadati; Pseudomonadota; Gammaproteobacteria; Enterobacterales; Enterobacteriaceae
Also listed under: 1 other name
Description: bacterial LSU rRNA
Rfam family: Bacterial large subunit ribosomal RNA
Source: RNAcentral
UUAAGCGACUAAGCGUACACGGUGGAUGCCCUGGCAGUCAGAGGCGAUGAAGGACGUGCUAAUCUGCGAUAAGCGUCGGUAAGGUGAUAUGAACCGUUAUAACCGGCGAUUUCCGAAUGGGGAAACCCAGUGUGUUUCGACACACUAUCAUUAACUGAAUCCAUAGGUUAAUGAGGCGAACCGGGGGAACUGAAACAUCUAAGUACCCCGAGGAAAAGAAAUCAACCGAGAUUCCCCCAGUAGCGGCGAGCGAACGGGGAGGAGCCCAGAGCCUGAAUCAGUGUGUGUGUUAGUGGAAGCGUCUGGAAAGGCGCGCGAUACAGGGUGACAGCCCCGUACACAAAAAUGCACAUGCUGUGAGCUCGAUGAGUAGGGCGGGACACGUGGUAUCCUGUCUGAAUAUGGGGGGACCAUCCUCCAAGGCUAAAUACUCCUGACUGACCGAUAGUGAACCAGUACCGUGAGGGAAAGGCGAAAAGAACCCCGGCGAGGGGAGUGAAAAAGAACCUGAAACCGUGUACGUACAAGCAGUGGGAGCCUCUUUAUGGGGUGACUGCGUACCUUUUGUAUAAUGGGUCAGCGACUUAUAUUCUGUAGCAAGGUUAACCGAAUAGGGGAGCCGAAGGGAAACCGAGUCUUAACUGGGCGUUAAGUUGCAGGGUAUAGACCCGAAACCCGGUGAUCUAGCCAUGGGCAGGUUGAAGGUUGGGUAACACUAACUGGAGGACCGAACCGACUAAUGUUGAAAAAUUAGCGGAUGACUUGUGGCUGGGGGUGAAAGGCCAAUCAAACCGGGAGAUAGCUGGUUCUCCCCGAAAGCUAUUUAGGUAGCGCCUCGUGAAUUCAUCUCCGGGGGUAGAGCACUGUUUCGGCAAGGGGGUCAUCCCGACUUACCAACCCGAUGCAAACUGCGAAUACCGGAGAAUGUUAUCACGGGAGACACACGGCGGGUGCUAACGUCCGUCGUGAAGAGGGAAACAACCCAGACCGCCAGCUAAGGUCCCAAAGUCAUGGUUAAGUGGGAAACGAUGUGGGAAGGCCCAGACAGCCAGGAUGUUGGCUUAGAAGCAGCCAUCAUUUAAAGAAAGCGUAAUAGCUCACUGGUCGAGUCGGCCUGCGCGGAAGAUGUAACGGGGCUAAACCAUGCACCGAAGCUGCGGCAGCGACGCUUAUGCGUUGUUGGGUAGGGGAGCGUUCUGUAAGCCUGUGAAGGUGUGCUGUGAGGCAUGCUGGAGGUAUCAGAAGUGCGAAUGCUGACAUAAGUAACGAUAAAGCGGGUGAAAAGCCCGCUCGCCGGAAGACCAAGGGUUCCUGUCCAACGUUAAUCGGGGCAGGGUGAGUCGACCCCUAAGGCGAGGCCGAAAGGCGUAGUCGAUGGGAAACAGGUUAAUAUUCCUGUACUUGGUGUUACUGCGAAGGGGGGACGGAGAAGGCUAUGUUGGCCGGGCGACGGUUGUCCCGGUUUAAGCGUGUAGGCUGGUUUUCCAGGCAAAUCCGGAAAAUCAAGGCUGAGGCGUGAUGACGAGGCACUACGGUGCUGAAGCAACAAAUGCCCUGCUUCCAGGAAAAGCCUCUAAGCAUCAGGUAACAUCAAAUCGUACCCCAAACCGACACAGGUGGUCAGGUAGAGAAUACCAAGGCGCUUGAGAGAACUCGGGUGAAGGAACUAGGCAAAAUGGUGCCGUAACUUCGGGAGAAGGCACGCUGAUAUGUAGGUGAAGUCCCUCGCGGAUGGAGCUGAAAUCAGUCGAAGAUACCAGCUGGCUGCAACUGUUUAUUAAAAACACAGCACUGUGCAAACACGAAAGUGGACGUAUACGGUGUGACGCCUGCCCGGUGCCGGAAGGUUAAUUGAUGGGGUCAGCGCAAGCGAAGCUCUUGAUCGAAGCCCCGGUAAACGGCGGCCGUAACUAUAACGGUCCUAAGGUAGCGAAAUUCCUUGUCGGGUAAGUUCCGACCUGCACGAAUGGCGUAAUGAUGGCCAGGCUGUCUCCACCCGAGACUCAGUGAAAUUGAACUCGCUGUGAAGAUGCAGUGUACCCGCGGCAAGACGGAAAGACCCCGUGAACCUUUACUAUAGCUUGACACUGAACAUUGAGCCUUGAUGUGUAGGAUAGGUGGGAGGCUUAGAAGUGUGGACGCCAGUCUGCAUGGAGCCGGCCUUGAAAUACCACCCUUUAAUGUUUGAUGUUCUAACGUUGACCCGUAAUCCGGGUUGCGGACAGUGUCUGGUGGGUAGUUUGACUGGGGCGGUCUCCUCCUAAAGAGUAACGGAGGAGCACGAAGGUUGGCUAAUCCUGGUCGGACAUCAGGAGGUUAGUGCAAUGGCAUAAGCCAGCUUGACUGCGAGCGUGACGGCGCGAGCAGGUGCGAAAGCAGGUCAUAGUGAUCCGGUGGUUCUGAAUGGAAGGGCCAUCGCUCAACGGAUAAAAGGUACUCCGGGGAUAACAGGCUGAUACCGCCCAAGAGUUCAUAUCGACGGCGGUGUUUGGCACCUCGAUGUCGGCUCAUCACAUCCUGGGGCUGAAGUAGGUCCCAAGGGUAUGGCUGUUCGCCAUUUAAAGUGGUACGCGAGCUGGGUUUAGAACGUCGUGAGACAGUUCGGUCCCUAUCUGCCGUGGGCGCUGGAGAACUGAGGGGGGCUGCUCCUAGUACGAGAGGACCGGAGUGGACGCAUCACUGGUGUUCGGGUUGUCAUGCCAAUGGCACUGCCCGGUAGCUAAAUGCGGAAGAGAUAAGUGCUGAAAGCAUCUAAGCACGAAACUUGCCCCGAGAUGAGUUCUCCCUGACCCUUUAAGGGUCCUGAAGGAACGUUGAAGACGACGACGUUGAUAGGCCGGGUGUGUAAGCGCAGCGAUGCGUUGAGCUAACCGGUACUAAUGAACCGUGAGGCUUAACCUU